AGGACGAACGCUGGCGGCGUGCUUAACACAUGCAAGUCGAACGGAAAGGCCCUGCUUUUGUGGGGUGCUCGAGUGGCGAACGGGUGAGUAACACGUGAGUAACCUGCCCUUGACUUUGGGAUAACUUCAGGAAACUGGGGCUAAUACCGGAUAGGAGCUCCUGCUGCAUGGUGGGGGUUGGAAAGUUUCGGCGGUUGGGGAUGGACUCGCGGCUUAUCAGCUUGUUGGUGGGUAGUGGCUUACCAAGGCUUUGACGGGUAGCCGGCCUGAGAGGGUGACCGGCACAUUGGGACUGAGAUACGGCCCAGACUCCUACGGGAGGCAGCAGUGGGGAAUAUUGCACAAUGGGCGGAAGCCUGAUGCAGCAACGCCGCGUGCGGGAUGACGGCCUUCGGGUUGUAACCGACUUCGCCUGUGACGAAGCGUGAGUGACGGUAAUGGUAAAGUAAGACACCGGACUAACUAACGUGCCAGCAGCCGCGGU
Molecule: ribosomal RNA, 484 nt
Filed under: uncultured soil bacterium
Lineage: Bacteria
Description: bacterial SSU rRNA
Rfam family: Bacterial small subunit ribosomal RNA
Source: RNAcentral